AGUCAGAGCUUCUCGUCUGAGGCUGCUGAGGCGGCGGCUGGUUUCGUGGUCGCGGUACCUGUUCCAACACGGCUCGCGGGCCCGUGCCGGCCCCGGUCCCCGGCGCGGCUGUCCGAGCCCCUGCGGCGGGCGGGCGAUGGUGCGGCGGAGCGCGCGGACGCGGGCGGCGCGGCGGCGGGCAUGAAGGAGGAUGGAAGGGCAGGACGAGGUGUCGGCGCGGGAGCAGCACUUCCACAGCCAAGUGCGGGAGUCCACGAUAUGUUUCCUUCUUUUUGCCAUUCUCUAUGUUGUUUCCUACUUCAUCAUCACAAGAUACAAGAGAAAAUCAGAUGAACAAGAAGAUGAAGAUGCCAUCGUCAACAGGAUUUCGUAUGUAUUUUAAAGUUCAGUUGUUCUGUUUCUGAAGUCAUCAGUUCUCAAAAUCCAAUUCUAAUUUUUGGACAGAAGUAUGGAAAAUAUUCACCCAGCACAUUACAAUAGCUUUAUCAUAUUAAUUUUAGAAAGCACAUGUAAGCAAAUAUGUGUGGAUAAUUUAGCACUGGUUCUCUCCUAUUGAAAUUUGCAUAUUUAAGGAGCUGACAGAUUUUAUCUUCAGGGGAUUAAAUGAGGAAAUGGCCUUAAUUUAAUUGCUUGGUCAUAAGAAAGAA
This 647-nucleotide small RNA is filed under the name Pongo abelii (Sumatran orangutan). RNAcentral describes it as "retained intron". The record is from RNAcentral. Lineage: Eukaryota; Metazoa; Chordata; Mammalia; Primates; Hominidae.